GCUUCCAUUAGGAAGAAUCUGGAGGACAGGUGCUGCAUGGCUGUCGUCAGCUCGUGUCGUGAGAUGUUCGGUUAAGUCCGCAACGAGCGCAACCCUUGCCUUUACGUUGCCAGCAGUUCGGCUGGGCACUCUAAAGGGACUGCCGGUGUUAAACCGGAGGAAGGUGGGGAUGACGUCAAGUCCUCAUGGCCUUUAUGACCAGGGCUACACACGUACUACAAUGGCCGAUACAAAGGGCAGCGACAUUGCGAAAUGAAGCCAAUCCCAUAAAUUCGGUCUCAGUCCGGAUUGGAGUCUGCAACUCGACUCCAUGAAGUUGGAAUCGCUAGUAAUCGUGGAUCAGCAUGCCACGGUGAAUACGUUCCCGGGCCUU
Molecule: ribosomal RNA, 373 nt
Filed under: uncultured Desulfobulbus sp.
Lineage: Bacteria; Pseudomonadati; Thermodesulfobacteriota; Desulfobulbia; Desulfobulbales; Desulfobulbaceae
Description: bacterial SSU rRNA
Rfam family: Bacterial small subunit ribosomal RNA
Source: RNAcentral